Molecule: ribosomal RNA, 599 nt
Filed under: bacterium enrichment culture clone T44x_EXP-B07_T3-_F07
Lineage: Bacteria
Description: bacterial SSU rRNA
Rfam family: Bacterial small subunit ribosomal RNA
Source: RNAcentral
CUGCCUUGGGGUCUGGGAUAGCUGCGGGAAACUGCAGGUAACACCGGAUACGCACGAGAGUGGAAAGUUUACGCCCUGGGAUGGGCCCGCGUCGGAUUAGGUAGUUGGUGGGGUAACGGCCUACCAAGCCUGCGAUCCGUAACCGGUCUGAGAGGAUGAUCGGUCACACUGGGACUGAGACACGGCCCAGACUCCUACGGGAGGCAGCAGUGGGGAAUCUUGGACAAUGGGGGCAACCCUGAUCCAGCGACGCCGCGUGGGUGAUGAAGGCCUUCGGGUCGUAAAGCCCUUUGCCGGGGACGAUGAUGACGGUACCCGGAGAAGAAGCACCGGCUAACUCUGUGCCAGCAGCCGCGGUAAGACAGAGGGUGCUAGCGUUGUUCGGAAUUACUGGGCGUAAAGGGCGCGUAGGCGGCUCGUUUAGUCGGGUGUGAAAUCCCGGGGCUCAACCCCGGAACUGCAUUCGAUACUGGCGGGCUAGAGACCGAGAGAGGUGGGUGGAAUACCCAGUGUAGAGGUGAAAUUCGUAGAUAUUGGGUGGAACACCGGUGGCGAAGGCGGCUCACUGGCUCGGUUCUGACGCUGAGGCGCGAAAGCGU